RNAcentral lists this ribosomal RNA (279 nucleotides) under uncultured bacterium. RNAcentral describes it as "partial 16S ribosomal RNA". It matches the Rfam family "Bacterial small subunit ribosomal RNA", at positions 506 to 784 of the family's 1533-position model. The record is from RNAcentral.
UGCCAGCAGCCGCGGUAAUACGUAGGGUGCAAGCGUUAUCCGGAAUCAUUGGGCGUAAAGCGUCUGUAGGUGGUAUGCUAAGUCAGAUAUUAAAUUCCAGGGCUCAACCCUGGAGCUGUGUUUGAAACUGGCAAACUAGAGGUUUAUAGAGGUAAGUGGAAUUCCCGGUGUAGGGGUAAAAUCCGUAGAUAUCGGGAGGAACACCAAAAGCGAAGGCAGCUUACUGGAAUAAACCUGACACUGAGAGACGAAAGCGUGGGGAGCAAACAGGAUUAGAUA